RNAcentral lists this ribosomal RNA (459 nucleotides) under uncultured bacterium. Its description in RNAcentral is "bacterial SSU rRNA". It matches the Rfam family "Bacterial small subunit ribosomal RNA", at positions 29 to 532 of the family's 1533-position model. The record is from RNAcentral.
AAUGAACGCUGGCGGCAGGCCUAACACAUGCAAGUCGAACGGAUCCUUCGGGAUUAGUGGCGGACGGGUGAGUAACGCGUGGGAACGUACCCCUUUCUUCGGAAUAGCCUCGGGAAACUGGGAGUAAUACCGGAUAAGCCCUAUUGGGGAAAGAUUUAUCGGGAAGGGAUCGGCCCGCGUUGGAUUAGGUAGUUGGUGGGGUAAUGGCCUACCAAGCCGACGAUCCAUAGCUGGUUUGAGAGGAUGAUCAGCCACACUGGGACUGAGACACGGCCCAGACUCCUACGGGAGGCAGCAGUGGGGAAUCUUAGACAAUGGGGGAAACCCUGAUCUAGCCAUGCCGCGUGAUCGAUGAAGGCCUUAGGGUUGUAAGAUCUUUCAGUGGGGAAGAUAAUGACGGUACCCACAGAAGAAGCCCCGGCUAACUCCGUGCCAGCAGCCGCGGUAAUGUGACUACUG